AUGGCCGCCGCGCCGGUGGCGUCCCCCUUCCCCACGCUCCCCUCUCCCUCCUCCGCCCUCAGCACGCCCACGCGCCGUCUUCACGGCCGCGCGUUCCCGCCGCCAGCAGCGGCCGCCUCGCCGCGGGAGCAGCAGCAGCAGCAGAGCGCCAGGGGCGCGGCGGGCGCGGGGGAGAGCAGGCGGCGGCGGGAGGAGGAACAGGACGAGGCCGCGGCGGAGGAGUUCGAGCGGCAGCGGAAGGAGGAGGUGAACCGCAAGAUCGCCUCCCGGAAGGCGCUCUCCAUCAUCCUCCGGCGCGAGGCCACCAAGGCCGUCCUCGACAAGCGCGAGCCCGGCAAGGGCACCCGCCGCCUCCUCCCCCGCACCGUACUCGAGGCCCUCCACGACCGCGUCGCCGCCCUCCGCUGGGAGUCCGCCCUCAAGGUGUUCGAGCUAAUGCGGGACCAGGUGUGGUACAGGCCGUACGUCGGCAUAUACAUCAAGCUCAUCACCAUGCUCGGCAAGUGCAAGCAGCCGGGGAAGGCGCACGAGCUCUUCCAGGCCAUGGUCGACGAGGGCUGCGCCCCCAACCUCGAGUCGUACACGGCCCUUGUCUCGGCGUACAGCAGGAGCGGCAGCUUCGACAGGGCUUUCGCCUUGCUUGAUCAGAUGAAGGCCACCCCUGGUUGCCGGCCCGAUGUCCAGACAUACUCCAUUCUCAUCAAGUCCUGCUUGCACGCCCAUGACUUCGACAAGGUGAAGGACUUGCUGGAGGAUAUGGCGCGCGCGGGUAUCCGCCCGAACACCGUGACUUAUAACACUCUCAUUGAUGCUCAUGGGAAAGCAGGAAGGUUUGCUGAGAUGGAGUCAACUCUUCUUGAGAUGUUGUCUGAAGACUGCAAGCCUGAUGUGUGGACAAUGAAUUCUACUCUCAGAGCUUUCGGUAGCAGUGGUCAGAUUGAGACAAUGGAAAGCUGCUACGAGAAGUUCCAGGCAUCUGGUAUCUCCCCAAACAUUAAGACCUACAACAUUUUACUUGAUUCCUAUGGUAAAGCUAAAAUGUAUGAGAAGAUGGGAGCAGUGAUGGAGUACAUGCAGAAGUAUUACUAUUCCUGGACAAUAGUCACAUACAACGUAGUUAUUGAUGCAUUCGGAAGGGCCGGCGAUCUUGAACAGAUGGAAUACAUCUUUAGAUUGAUGAAAUCAGACCGUAUAAAGCCUAACUGUGUUACCCUCUGUUCAUUGAUUAGAGCAUAUGGAAGGGCUGAUCAAGUAAAGAAAAUAGAGACAGUGUUAAGAGUUGUCGAGAAUUCAGAUAUCACGUUGGAUAUUGUGUUUUUCAACUGUUUGGUGGACGCAUAUGGGAGGGUGGGGCGCUUGGCAGAGAUGUGGGAUGUUCUCAAUAUGAUGAAGGAAGAGCAAAUAAGACCAGACAAGGUAACCUGCACUACCAUGAUCAAAUGGUUUCUCGUCAAAGGGAUUGAUGAUCAUCGUGUUCAGUACCUGCGUGACCUAAAAGAUGGGCGAUCUACAGACAACAAGUAG
This 1524-nucleotide ribosomal RNA is filed under the name Triticum aestivum (bread wheat). Its description in RNAcentral is "partial small subunit ribosomal RNA". The record is from RNAcentral. Lineage: Eukaryota; Viridiplantae; Streptophyta; Magnoliopsida; Poales; Poaceae.